Molecule: ribosomal RNA, 510 nt
Filed under: uncultured bacterium
Lineage: Bacteria
Description: partial 16S ribosomal RNA
Rfam family: Bacterial small subunit ribosomal RNA
Source: RNAcentral
GACGAACGCUGGCGGCGUGCUUAACACAUGCAAGUCGAACGAAGAGCGAUGGAAGCUUGCUUCUAUCAAUCUUAGUGGCGAACGGGUGAGUAACGCGUAAUCAACCUGCCCUUCAGAGGGGGACAACAGUUGGAAACGACUGCUAAUACCGCAUACGAUCUAAUCUCGGCAUCGAGGAUAGAUGAAAGGUGGCCUCUACAUGUAAGCUAUCACUGGAGGAGGGGAUUGCGUCUGAUUAGCUAGUUGGAGGGGUAACGGCCCACCAAGGCGAUGAUCAGUAGCCGGUCUGAGAGGAUGAACGGCCACAUUGGGACUGAGACACGGCCCAGACUCCUACGGGAGGCAGCAGUGGGGAAUCUUCCGCAAUGGACGAAAGUCUGACGGAGCAACGCCGCGUGAGCGAUGACGGCCUUCGGGUUGUAAAGCUCUGUUAAUCGGGACGAAAGGCCUUCUUGCGAAUAGUGAGAAGGAUUGACGGUACCGGAAUAGAAAGCCACGGCUAACUACGUG